UUAUGAUUAAGCAAGGUAAUAACUGAAAAGCCUCCUAAUUGUAUAAAUUAUCUAACUUUUACACAGACGAGCGCCACCAAAUCAGUAUUAUGGUGCAUGUUAAGCACAAGUACAAUCCAAAAUCACAAGUAAAAAAGGCCUUUCAAUUCAAAAAGGAUAAAAAAGAUUGUCGAAUAAAGCAUCAUCCAAUCAAUACCCAAGUUUCAUUGCUUUGAUGAAGUUGAUGGUCCAGACCCUGGGGGUGGAGGUCCAGACCCUGUGAGUGGAGGUCCGGACCCUGGAGGUGGAGGUCCAGAACUUGAAGAACCUGCAGCGGCAGUCCUGGGUAGUGGCAUAGAAUGCUGAUGCUGCUGGGUAGCUUGUGUAGCUGGUGGCAGCGGAGCU
This 384-nucleotide long non-coding RNA is filed under the name Ricinus communis (castor bean). RNAcentral's name for it is "long non-coding RNA (RCOM_LNC001245)". The record is from RNAcentral. Lineage: Eukaryota; Viridiplantae; Streptophyta; Magnoliopsida; Malpighiales; Euphorbiaceae.